UACGUAGGGUGCGAGCGUUGUCCGGAAUUAUUGGGCGUAAAGAGCUCGUAGGCGGUGUGUCACGUCGAUCGUGAAACUUUCAGCUUAACUGGGAGCUUGCGUCGAUACGGGCAUCACUGGAGUUCGGCAGGGGAGACUGGAAUUCCCGGUGUAGCGGUGAAAUGCGCAGAUAUCGGGAGGAACACCAAUGGCGAAGGCAGCUCGCUGGGACGUUACUGACGCUGAGACGCGAAAGCGUGGGAGCAACAGG
RNAcentral lists this ribosomal RNA (250 nucleotides) under uncultured bacterium. RNAcentral describes it as "partial 16S ribosomal RNA". It matches the Rfam family "Bacterial small subunit ribosomal RNA", at positions 524 to 776 of the family's 1533-position model. The record is from RNAcentral.